Molecule: ribosomal RNA, 495 nt
Filed under: uncultured bacterium
Lineage: Bacteria
Description: bacterial SSU rRNA
Rfam family: Bacterial small subunit ribosomal RNA
Source: RNAcentral
GAUGAACGCUGGCGGCGUGCCUCAAACAUGCAAGUCGAGCGAGGCUAUGAGUUACCGCAAGGUAAGGCAUAGCCUAGCGGCGAACGGGUGAGUAACACGUGGGUAACCUACCUGGAAGACAGGGAUAACGAUUCGAAAGGGUCGCUAAUACCUGAUAAUAUCCAUCUGCCGGAUGGCGGAGGGAAGAAGGGGAAACCCGCUUUCAGAUGGGCCCGCGUCCCAUCAGCUAGUUGGUAGGUAAUAGCCUACCAAGCCGAUGACGGGUAGCCGGCCUGAGAGGGUGACCGGCCCGAGGGGCACUGAGAUACGGGUCCCACUCCUACGGGAGGCAGCAGGCUAGAAAUUUGGGCAAUGGGGGAAACCCUGACCCAGUGACGCCGCGUGCAGGAAGGAGCCCUUCGGGGUGUAAACUGCUUUUGUACGGAACGAAACGGCGAGCUCUAAUACAGUUUGCUAAUGACGGUACCGUAAGAAUAAGCACCGGCUAACUACGUG